RNAcentral lists this ribosomal RNA (1203 nucleotides) under Triticum aestivum (bread wheat). RNAcentral's name for it is "partial small subunit ribosomal RNA". Lineage: Eukaryota; Viridiplantae; Streptophyta; Magnoliopsida; Poales; Poaceae. The record is from RNAcentral.
AUGUAUUGUGAUGUCUAUACAAAGGCUGCAGUGCUUCGGACAAGGAGCGGCAUCAUACUUCGGUGCACCUCUCAAGUAUCAGCUUUCCUUGCCCUUGUGUUCUUCUUCACAGUUGGCAACAAACAGAGGUACAAUAGAGUCGACAUUGCAAUCACAUACAUGUUAUUUAUGGGAUGCUUUUUUCUGGAAGUUUGUGCAAUGUUUAUGAUGGUCAUUGUAUCACCUUGGACGUGGGCUUGGCUUAAGGCUAAGAAGUGGGUUCGGCUCACUCGCUUGUCCUGGACGCUUUUCUCCGGUAAUACUAUUGGAUGGCCAGAGGAGAAGAUGUUGUGGUCAAACAACAUGGGCCAGUACAAUUUUCUGAUCUAUGUGGGCUGCGAGGAAAAGCCAAGUACUCCGUCCAUGUCGGAACGAGUGAUGACCAGGAUCAGGAAGAUCACAAAAGCAGUUGGUGCUGGAGAGGACAAGUUGUUUUGGUUAAGCAAGUCAUUAGAUACGAAGUACGAGGAGGUGGAUGCGGAUAUCACAGAUAGUUUUCUGAAGGACAUUGAAGUCAUUCUCCAAUCCCCUUUCGGAGGAGGACCGAGUAGGCUGUGGCAACAUCUUAGUGUGAAUAACAUGGCACGGGAAUUUUCUAGAGAUUUUAGUGCAGUCAUGAUCAAUUUGCAUAUAUCAACAAUAAUACACCUCAGUGAGGUUUCAAGUGUGGAUGUGGAAAUAGUUGCCUUGGUUGGUGUCUGCCGGAAACUAUCCAAUUAUAUGAUGUAUCUCCUUGCUACACACCCUGUUAUGUUGCAGGUCACUGCAACCAGUGCCAAAUCAGUACUACAAGGCUUUCGUAAGAAGUUUAUGAUGAUGAUGACUGGCAGCAUCAGCAAGCCUGUGGUUCUACAAAAUCUCAAAGAGUUGAUAUCGAAGGAGGAUUCCAGGUUGUCUUUGCCCGAACCAUGCAAAGAAACACUGGAGGAGAUGAGAGAUAUGUGGGUGAGGAUUAUCAUAUAUGCCGCUGGCAGGUCGCGGCCAGAGACGCAUGCGACACAGCUGGCCAGAGGACGGGAAUUCCUUACCUUCAUCUGGCUGCUCUUGGCACACAAAAAUCUUGGGUCUUCCACGUCCUUUCCAAUCGAACUUAUUAGCCCACCUCCAAAUUUUGGGCCUUACAGUGAUGUACGAAGUUAUGCCUUUGAUUUUCGCCAAAAUUGA